Oncorhynchus keta (chum salmon) is the source of this 721-nucleotide long non-coding RNA. RefSeq lists it as uncharacterized. Lineage: Eukaryota; Metazoa; Chordata; Actinopteri; Salmoniformes; Salmonidae. The transcript has 3 exons. The record is from RefSeq and is a predicted model, not a curated record.
UUUGGGACGCAUGUUAUCUGUCCCCAAAUGGCAGCAGAGAGGAAGGUCAGGCUAGGUAAAGGACCAGUAAUCCCUCCAUAGGAAGGCAGCAGAGAGGAAGGUCAGGCUAGGUAAAGGCCCAGUAAUCCCUCCAUAGGAAGGCAGCAGAGAGGAAGGUCAGGCUAGGUAAAGGCCCAGUAAUCCCUCCAUAGGAAGGCAGCAGAGAGGAAGGUCAGGCUAGGUAAAGGCCCAGUAAUCCCUCCAUAGGAAGGCAGCAGAGAGGAAGGUCAGGCUAGGUAAAGGCCCAGUAAUCCCUCCAUAGGAAGGCAGCAGAGAGGAAGGUCAGGCUAGGUAAAGGCCAGUAAUCCCUCCAUGGGAGGCAGCAGAGAGGAAGGUCAGGCUAGGUAAAGGCCCAGUAAUCCCUCCAUGGGAAGGCAGCAGAGAGGAAGGUCAGGCUAGGUAAAGGCCCAGUAAUCCCUCCAUAGGAAGGCAGCAGAGAGGAAGGUCAGGCUAGGUAAAGGCCAGUAAUCCCUCCAUAGGAAGGCAGCAGAGAGGAAGGUCAGGCUAGGUAAAGGCCAGUAAUCCCUCCAUAGGAAGGCAGCAGAGAGGAAGGUCAGGCUAGGUAAAGGCCAGUAAUCCCUCCAUAGGAAGGCAGCAGAGAGGAAGGUCAGGCUAGGUAAAGGCCAGUAAUCCCUCCAUAGGAAGGCAGCAGAGAGGAAGGUCAGGCUAGGUAAAGGCCAGU